GACGAACGCUGGCGGCGUGCCUAAUACAUGCAAGUCGAACGCAGUGGGGACGGGUGAGUAACACGUGGGUAACCUCCCAUCAGAGGGGAUAACACUUGGAAACAGGUGCUAAACCGAUACUGAUGGAUGGACCCGCGGUGCAUUAGUUAGUUGGUGAGGUAACGGCUCACAAAGGCCACGAUGCAUAGCCGACCUGGGAGGGGGAUGGGCCAAACUGGGACGGGACCACGGCCAAGACUCCUACGGGAGGAAGCAGUGGGGAAUCUUCGGAAAUGGACGAAAGUCGGACCGAGCAACGCCGCGUGAGUGAAGAAGGUUUUCGGAUCGUAAAACUCUGUGGUUAGAGAAGCGGUAUCUAACCAGAAAGCCACGGCUAACUACGUGCCAGUAGCCGCGGUAAUUC
This 403-nucleotide ribosomal RNA is filed under the name uncultured bacterium. RNAcentral describes it as "partial 16S ribosomal RNA". It matches the Rfam family "Bacterial small subunit ribosomal RNA", at positions 28 to 526 of the family's 1533-position model. The record is from RNAcentral.